This 468-nucleotide ribosomal RNA is filed under the name uncultured organism. RNAcentral describes it as "bacterial SSU rRNA". It matches the Rfam family "Bacterial small subunit ribosomal RNA", at positions 28 to 507 of the family's 1533-position model. The record is from RNAcentral.
GAUGAACGCUAGCGGCAGGCCUAAUACAUGCAAGUCAAGGGGGCAGCAAUGUCACCGGCGGACGGGUGCGUAACGCGUACACAACGUACCUCUAACAGGGAGAUAGUAUCGGGAAACUGGUAGUAAUACCCCAUGUGAUUGAUGACCGGCAUCGGUUGUUGAUUAAAGUACAAGCGGUUAGAGAUCGGUGUGCGUUUGAUUAGCUAGUUGGUGGGGUAACGGCCCACCAAGGCUACGAUCAAUAGGGGGUGUGAGAGCAUGACCCCCCACACGGGUACUGAGACACGGACCCGACUCCUACGGGAGGCAGCAGUAAGGAAUAUUGGACAAUGGUCGGAAGACUGAUCCAGCCAUGCCGCGUGAAGGAUGAAGGCGCUCAGCGUUGUAAACUUCUUUUGGACGGGAACAAAAUGCGGGAUUUAUCCUGUACUGAGGGUACCGUCAGAAUAAGCACCGGCUAACUCCGUG